This 376-nucleotide ribosomal RNA is filed under the name uncultured bacterium. Its description in RNAcentral is "bacterial SSU rRNA". It matches the Rfam family "Bacterial small subunit ribosomal RNA", at positions 524 to 898 of the family's 1533-position model. The record is from RNAcentral.
UACGAAGGGUGCAAGCGUUGUUCGGAAUUACUGGGCGUAAAGCGCUCGUAGGCGGAUUCGUAAGUCAAUUGUGAAAGCCCUGGGCUCAACCCGGGAAUUGCAGUUGAAACUGCGAACCUUGAAUACUUGAGAGGGUGACUAAAUUCCUGGUGUAGAAGUGAAAUUCGUAGAUAUCAGGAGGAAAACCAGAGGCGAAAGCGGUUGCCUGGCAAUGUAUUGACGCUGAGGAGCGAAAGCGUGGGGAGCAAACAGGAUUAGAUACCCUGGUAGUCCACGCGGUAAACGAUGGAUACUAGGUGUUUGGGGUGUUAACCCCCUGAGUACCGAAGCUAACGCAUUAAGUAUCCCGCCUGGGGAGUACGGCCGCAAGGCUAAA